Molecule: ribosomal RNA, 1349 nt
Filed under: uncultured bacterium
Lineage: Bacteria
Description: bacterial SSU rRNA
Rfam family: Bacterial small subunit ribosomal RNA
Source: RNAcentral
GACGAACGCUGGCGGCGUGCUUAACACAUGCAAGUCGAACGAUGAAGCCUAGCUUGCUAGGUGGAUUAGUGGCGAACGGGUGAGUAAUACGUGAGUAACCUACCUUUAACUCUGGGAUAAGCCUGGGAAACUGGGUCUAAUACCGGAUACGACCAAUCUCCGCAUGGGGUGUUGGUGGAAAGCGUUAUGUAGUGGUUAUAGAUGGGCUCACGGCCUAUCAGCUUGUUGGUGAGGUAACGGCUCACCAAGGCGACGACGGGUAGCCGGCCUGAGAGGGUGACCGGCCACACUGGGACUGAGACACGGCCCAGACUCCUACGGGAGGCAGCAGUGGGGAAUAUUGCACAAUGGGCGCAAGCCUGAUGCAGCGACGCCGCGUGAGGGAUGACGGCCUUCGGGUUGUAAACCUCUGUUAGCAGGGAAGAAGAGAGAUUGACGGUACCUGCAGAGAAAGCGCCGGCUAACUACGUGCCAGCAGCCGCGGUAAUACGUAGGGCGCGAGCGUUGUCCGGAAUUAUUGGGCGUAAAGAGCUUGUAGGCGGUUUGUCGCGUCUGCUGUGAAAGGCCGGAGCUUAACUCCGUGUAUUGCAGUGGGUACGGGCAGACUAGAGUGCAGUAGGGGAGACUGGAAUUCCUGGUGUAGCGGUGGAAUGCGCAGAUAUCAGGAGGAACACCGAUGGCGAAGGCAGGUCUCUGGGCUGUAACUGACGCUGAGAAGCGAAAGCAUGGGGAGCGAACAGGAUUAGAUACCCUGGUAGUCCAUGCCGUAAACGUUGGGCACUAGGUGUGGGGAAACAUUCCACGUUUUCCGCGCCGUAGCUAACGCAUUAAGUGCCCCGCCUGGGGAGUACGGCCGCAAGGCUAAAACUCAAAGAAAUUGACGGGGGCCCGCACAAGCGGCGGAGCAUGCGGAUUAAUUCGAUGCAACGCGAAGAACCUUACCAAGGCUUGACAUAUACUGGACCGCAUCAGAGAUGGUGUUUCCCUUCGGGGCUGGUAUACAGGUGGUGCAUGGUUGUCGUCAGCUCGUGUCGUGAGAUGUUGGGUUAAGUCCCGCAACGAGCGCAACCCUCGUUCUAUGUUGCCAGCACGUUAUGGUGGGGACUCAUAGGAGACUGCCGGGGUCAACUCGGAGGAAGGUGGGGAUGACGUCAAAUCAUCAUGCCCCUUAUGUCUUGGGCUUCACGCAUGCUACAAUGGCCGGUACAGAGGGUUGCGAUACUGUGAGGUGGAGCUAAUCCCUAAAAGCCGGUCUCAGUUCGGAUUGGGGUCUGCAACUCGACCCCAUGAAGUCGGAGUCGCUAGUAAUCGCAGAUCAGCAACGCUGCGGUGGAUACGUUCCCGGGCCU